CCUACGGGAGGCAGCAGUGAGGAAUAUUGGUCAAUGGGCGAGAGCCUGAACCAGCCAAGUCGCGUGAAGGAUGACGGCCCUACGGGUUGUAAACUUCUUUUGUCAGGGAGCAAUUGGGUCCACGCGUGGGCUUAGCGAGAGUACCUGAAGAAAAAGCAUCGGCUAACUCCGUGCCAGCAGCCGCGGUAAUACGGAGGAUGCGAGCGUUAUCCGGAUUUAUUGGGUUUAAAGGGUGCGUAGGCGGAAUAUCAAGUCAGCGGUAAAAAUUCGGGGCUCAACCCCGUCGUGUCGUUGAAACUGAUGUUCUUGAGUGGGCGAGAAGUAUGCGGAAUGCGUGGUGUAGCGGUGAAAUGCAUAGAUAUCACGCAGAACUCCGAUUGCGAAGGCAGCAUACCGGCGCCCGACUGACGCUGAGGCACGAAAGCGUGGGGAUCGAACAGGAUUAGAUACCCGAGUAGUC
This 460-nucleotide ribosomal RNA is filed under the name uncultured bacterium. RNAcentral describes it as "partial 16S ribosomal RNA". It matches the Rfam family "Bacterial small subunit ribosomal RNA", at positions 338 to 795 of the family's 1533-position model. The record is from RNAcentral.